UAUGAGGAACAUUAAGACCAACCUACGCUCACGUUUAACUGAUGGAAGCCUCAACGCCUGCAUGAAGCUCAACCUCACCACGUAUGAACCAGACUACAAGGCCAUCAGCAAAACCAUGCAGCACCAGAAGUCGCAUUAAAAUCCUAUUCCCACACUGGCCCAUGGAGCAAGGCGUUUCAGCAGAAUCGUCAGCCCCCACCUUUGGCUGGGUAGCCGAAUGCUAGCAUCCUCUCCAGCCAACUGACUCUUUGCAUCCCACACUUCUUCCCGGAACCUCCAUUUCCACCCAUGGAAAUUGAGAUGUUUGCUGCUUGAAAGCUC
This is a long non-coding RNA of Lampris incognitus (smalleye Pacific opah), 321 nucleotides long. RefSeq lists it as uncharacterized. The transcript has 3 exons. The record is from RefSeq and is a predicted model, not a curated record. Lineage: Eukaryota; Metazoa; Chordata; Actinopteri; Lampriformes; Lampridae.